This 462-nucleotide ribosomal RNA is filed under the name uncultured bacterium. RNAcentral's name for it is "partial 16S ribosomal RNA". It matches the Rfam family "Bacterial small subunit ribosomal RNA", at positions 28 to 507 of the family's 1533-position model. The record is from RNAcentral.
GACGAACGCUGGCGGCGUGCUUAACACAUGCAAGUCGAACGGAAAGGCCCUUCGGGGUACUCGAGUGGCGAACGGGUGAGUAACACGUGGGUGAUCUGCCCUGCACUUUGGGAUAAGCCUGGGAAACUGGGUCUAAUACCGAAUAGGACCACGCGCUUCAUGGUGUGUGGUGGAAAGCUUUUGCGGUGUGGGAUGGGCCCGCGGCCUAUCAGCUUGUUGGUGGGGUAAUGGCCUACCAAGGCGACGACGGGUAGCCGGCCUGAGAGGGUGACCGGCCACACUGGGACUGAGAUACGGCCCAGACUCCUACGGGAGGCGGCAGUGGGGAAUAUUGCACAAUGGGCGCAAGCCUGAUGCAGCGACGCCGCGUGAGGGAUGACGGCCUUCGGGUUGUAAACCUCUUUCACCAGGGACGAAGCGUAAGUGACGGUACCUGGAGAAGAAGCACCGGCCAACUACGUG